RNAcentral lists this long non-coding RNA (1513 nucleotides) under Physcomitrium patens. RNAcentral's name for it is "long non-coding RNA (PPAT_LNC007526)". The record is from RNAcentral. Lineage: Eukaryota; Viridiplantae; Streptophyta; Bryopsida; Funariales; Funariaceae.
AAUAAAAGAUAUCAACAUCUUAAGAAGGAAGUUAAGAGUAAAUUAUAACAAAAAUUACCUAGAAAAACUAGAUAUUGAUACCCAAGGAGGAUUGAUUAUCAACUUGGGUCGAAAUCAGAUCCUUAGGCACUAAACCGAGCACCUACCGCAAUUCAGGGGUUCUUUUGUAGAUUGGAGAGUAGAAUUUGAUAGUAAAUUAGAUAGAAUUUUUAUAAACAAUGGUUUUUGGUGAUUUUGAUUUGUUAUGACUUUGUAAGAGCUUUACAAAGUUAAGUUUAUUUUUGGAUGACUUGGGUUUUGUGAAAUAAAAUAGGAUUGAUAUUUCCAGUGAUUUCAAGAGUUUUGUAAUAGAUCUAUAAGUGAAAUUUUGUGGAUUAUUGGUUAUAGUUGUGUUUAAUAUGUGUUGUGAAUCUUAGCUCGAUUUAAUAUUUUAAUUGAGGAUUAUUGAGGUUUAAGUGGAUCAAGGUCUCAAAAUUAGAAUUUUAGGUUCAGUGAGGGUUUUUAAGAUUUCUUAUAAUCUACUAGUUGGAUUAGAGUGAAAUUUGUGAGUGAGGAUAUUAGACUUAUUUUUCUAUGUAUAUGAGAAUUUUGAAAUCAAUCAAAUAGUGAAAAGGAGAAAUAUUGGCUCUGGGAGAUUGGCAUCAAGAUCAAAGAAGGAGGCCGGUCAAUAUCCAAGCACAUUUUUGACGCUAUUGUCUAUUUGGUAAUUUCAAUCCUUUUCAAAUUUUUUAUGCUUCUUGUCAACUUAAUUGUUAAAAAGCAUGAAAAAAAUUAGUUAAGGUCAACGGUUCAUUUAUUAGUAAUUGAGGUUUAAAUCUAUUAUAGAAAUUACUAGGAUUUGAUUUAGGGUUUGGUUAGGAUUUGGUUUAGGGUUUAGGAUUUGAUUAGGGUUUGAUUUAGGUUUGGAUUUGGUUAAGAUUUGAUUUAGGGUUUAAGAUUUGAUUUAGGAUUGAUUAGGGUUUGAUUUAGGAUUUAAGGUUUGGUUUAGGAUUUAAGAUUUAGGGUAUAAGAUUUGGUUAGGAUUUGGUCAGGAUUUGAUUUGAUUUAGGAUUUUAUUUGAGUUUGUUUAGGAUUUAAGAUUUAGUUAGUUUUUGGCCUAAAGUUUGAAUGAAGUCCAAUAGGAUUUCAAUUAAGAUUAAAUUAAGAUUGAAUUGACAUGUAUUUGAGAUAUGUUUGUAAUCAUUCUAAUAUUUCUUUAAAUUUUCUUAUUUUUUCUUUGUAAUUCCUUUGAAAUUUCUCUGAAUUUGAUUAAAGCUUGUUUAGCAUUGUUAGUGUUCUAUUAGAAUUAGGAUUUUGUUGUUGCAAUUUCCAUUCUACCUUCCAUAGCCAGGUGCCCGGAGCAUUCUCAAACAAGACUUCUCAUAUUACAACAGCGGUUAGGUUAAGAAAGAACCUAGGGUUUAGUUGGAUGAAGUAAAAAUGGAUAUAAUAACAAAAAGAUGGAAGUUGUUUUGUUGGUUAGCAACCACCACCUAUAAGUAAAGGGUGUUGGAAGUGGGAGGUAUCUCAUUCC